UGAAGCGGAGUCGGUGAAGCAGGGAGUCAAGGUGCCACCACCUGUUGCAAGGAAACCCAAAGCGAAGGGCAAAGAGAAUGAGACCAGUGAAGAGACAGAGCAAACUGCAGGACAGGAAGCACUGCAAGAGAGUAUCGAGGAUGCUGCAGAGAUAACAAAUGGGACAGCAGGUACUGUUGAAGGAGGUAUGACAUGAUUGUAAAGACUGAAGGAGACCUGGGAAGGACUUACCAAUAACACUGAAUUUGCUGCAAGUUGGUCUUUGUGUUUGAAAGAAAAACUGGAUUUGGAUAGAUGAGAUGCUUAUUUCAAAGAUUUUAAAGAAAAUCCUUUGACUUUGAUGUUAAUGGUGUGGGUCUUAAUUUUCUCACGUACUAAUUUUGCAUUUUACUAAGAGUGAAUAAAGCAUAUUUUCUUUUGCA
Molecule: long non-coding RNA, 422 nt
Organism: Perca fluviatilis (European perch)
Lineage: Eukaryota; Metazoa; Chordata; Actinopteri; Perciformes; Percidae
Exons: 2
Source: RefSeq, a predicted model, not a curated record